Molecule: long non-coding RNA, 636 nt
Filed under: Homo sapiens (human)
Lineage: Eukaryota; Metazoa; Chordata; Mammalia; Primates; Hominidae
Description: non-protein coding lnc-TMEM17-9:1
Source: RNAcentral
GAGGACUUGGACUCUUGGGACAUGGACUCAUUCUCUGUGGAGUGUGGAGGGCACUGGCACUACAAGGUAGGGGACCACUGGGAAGGAGAAGAUGGAGACAUCAAGGAUAACUGGGAUGAUGAUGAUGUGUCGGGCAGGGAAGGAAGGAAGCAGAAGCAAAACCAGAAGUAAAAAUUUCUUCAAUAAAAGACAAAGAACGGCAACAGAAGAAAAGAUAAUAAGAAAUCAAGAAGAAGUUAGAAGAACGUGAAAAACCUAAAGUGCUAACACCAGAAAAAACAGCAGAUAAAUCGCAACUAAAGAAAUCACAGAAGAAGUCAGAUCUCGAAUUAGCAAAAUAAACCUUUGGUGUUAAUAACACAGUUUAUGAAAUAGAUAGCUACGAACCUCUUUAAGAGAUAACUUCAGAGUUUGGAAAGUUACUAAAGACAAAAAUUACACAGUAUGAAAAGUAACUAUAUUACACCAGUUUUUUCAAGCCUCAGUUUGGGAUGAGUGUAUUUCAUCAGAAAUUGAUGACUUGCAGUGAAAAACAGAAGCAAGAAAAGCAAAGCCAAAAAGAAGAAAGGUGUGUUUCCCAGAGGGAGAUUAAAGGCUACCAUGAGAGACAAUCUGUGUGGUGGUUAUGGUGGAGGA